AGCAGCCCUGUCAAAUUCAGUGUCAUCUGCUGUGGUUGGUGCUGGCCCUGCCAGCUGCUGCAGAAAUAACUGCAGCUCAUGGGCCUCGGAAUGCGGGAUCACAGAAUGUUUUGGACUGGA
Molecule: small nucleolar RNA, 120 nt
Filed under: Amazona collaria (yellow-billed parrot)
Lineage: Eukaryota; Metazoa; Chordata; Aves; Psittaciformes; Psittacidae
Description: Small nucleolar RNA SNORA5 (ENSACOG00000001801.1)
Rfam family: Small nucleolar RNA SNORA5
About the family: ACA5 is a member of the H/ACA class of snoRNA that guide the sites of modification of uridines to pseudouridines.
Source: Rfam by way of RNAcentral